AAUUUUUUUUUCUCGGACAAAAUUCAUUUUCAUCCCAUCGCAACUCUCUUCUCUCUUUCUCUUCCCCGAUGAUUUUCAAUCAAUCGGAGAUUCCGUCAAAUUUACCGGUGGUGUUGUAAUCCGAGCAUCGAGUAUCUAUUCCCAUCAUCAAGAUUGGGCGAUGAACCUGAUAACAUCGAGAAGAAAAACAUUACAACAUCUGAUCCACUGACUUCAAGCACUUGGGAUGAGUUGAAAUUGAGAGAAUUUAAAUGAUGCAAAAUGAGAGAAUAGUUGCAGAUCUUGUUGUUUUUAUCUUAAAUAUAUGACCUGUUUUAUUGUUAUCUGUAUAUAAACAAUGUUCACACUUUAUGAUUUAGUAUAGGCAUCAGUAGUGGAA
Molecule: long non-coding RNA, 379 nt
Organism: Eutrema salsugineum
Lineage: Eukaryota; Viridiplantae; Streptophyta; Magnoliopsida; Brassicales; Brassicaceae
Exons: 3
Source: RefSeq, a predicted model, not a curated record